GGAGAGUUAUGCAAGUCUGGUUUAAGCAAGUCCUCGAGGUGUUUCGUGGGUUCGAAUCCCACACUCUCCA
RNAcentral lists this transfer RNA (70 nucleotides) under Fusobacterium animalis. RNAcentral's name for it is "tRNA-Arg". It matches the Rfam family "tRNA". From Rfam's summary of the family: Transfer RNA (tRNA) molecules are approximately 80 nucleotides in length. Their secondary structure includes four short double-helical elements and three loops (D, anti-codon, and T loops). RNAcentral also lists the same sequence under 1 other name. The record is from RNAcentral. Lineage: Bacteria; Fusobacteriati; Fusobacteriota; Fusobacteriia; Fusobacteriales; Fusobacteriaceae.